Oncorhynchus masou masou (cherry salmon) is the source of this 367-nucleotide long non-coding RNA. RefSeq lists it as uncharacterized. NCBI's taxonomy places the organism in Eukaryota, Metazoa, Chordata, Actinopteri, Salmoniformes, Salmonidae. The record is from RefSeq and is a predicted model, not a curated record. The transcript has 4 exons.
CAGCCUCCACUGCUUAGUUAUAUGUCUCCAUUGUAGAAAAAGAAGAAAGGAAAGAAGGGCAGUAAGAAGAAGAAGAAGAAAGAGAAGGAUCUGACAGCCGACAGAACCCUUGAGUCUCUGUAUGAAGAGCUGGUGCUGGAGGGCUUCUUGAUUAGACCCUUGAACAUCAAGCUCUCUGAGUACAUUGGUGAGUUCAGCUACCUGGGUACGACCCUGCGCCAGGCAGACAUUGAGCCCAUGCCCUCUCUGUCAGACGUCAGACAGCUCAUUGCCCUUUAUGGGAUCCUGCCUCUGGGUUCCCAGUCCGUCCAUCAGAAGGCUCCCCUGAUGAAGACUCUGCUGCUGGCUGGUCCUGGAGGCGUAGGGG